This 460-nucleotide ribosomal RNA is filed under the name uncultured bacterium. Its description in RNAcentral is "partial 16S ribosomal RNA". It matches the Rfam family "Bacterial small subunit ribosomal RNA", at positions 338 to 795 of the family's 1533-position model. The record is from RNAcentral.
CCUACGGGUGGCUGCAGUGAGGAAUAUUGGUCAAUGGGCGCGAGCCUGAACCAGCCAAGCCGCGUGAAGGAUGACUGCCCUAUGGGUUGUAAACUUCUUUUAUACGAGGAUAAACUCAGGUACGUGUACCUGUCUGUAUGUAUCGUACGAAUAAGGAUCGGCUAACUCCGUGCCAGCAGCCGCGGUAAUACGGAGGAUUCGAGCGUUAUCCGGAUUUAUUGGGUUUAAAGGGUGCGUAGGCGGGUUGUUAAGUCAGUGGUGAAAGUUCGCGGCUCAACCUCAGAAUUGCAUCUGAUACUGGCAGGCUUGAGGACAGUUGAGGUAGGCGGAAUGCGUGGUGUAGCGGUGAAAUGCUUAGAGAUCACGAAGAACACCGAUUGCGAAGGCAGCUUAUCAAGCUACCACUGACGUUGAUGCACGAAAGCGUGGGGAGCAAACAGGAUUAGAUACCCUAGUAGUC